RNAcentral lists this non-coding RNA (21 nucleotides) under Arabidopsis thaliana (thale cress). Lineage: Eukaryota; Viridiplantae; Streptophyta; Magnoliopsida; Brassicales; Brassicaceae. The record is from RNAcentral.
CUUUUUUCCUCGAGUGAUGUC